This 67-nucleotide transfer RNA is filed under the name Metaphycus eriococci. RNAcentral describes it as "tRNA-Leu". Lineage: Eukaryota; Metazoa; Arthropoda; Insecta; Hymenoptera; Encyrtidae. The record is from RNAcentral.
UCUAAUAUGGCAGAUUAGUGCAAUAAAUUUAAGAUUUAUAUAUAUAAAUUAUUAUUUAUUAUUAGAA